GUGCACCAGUCGCGAAAACUUCACAAUGUGCGAAAGCACGAUGAGGGAAUCCCAAGUGCUUGCUCGUAAGAGUAAGCUGUUUCUCUGUCUAAAACGCAGAGAGAGUAAGGGCUGGGUAAGACGGGUGCCAGCCGCCGCGGUAAUACCUGCAGCUCGAGUGGUGGCCGCUAUUAUUGGGCCUAAAACGUCCGUAGCCGGUUUAUUAAAUGCCUGGGUAAAUCGGACCGCUUAACGGUUCGAAUUCCGGGUAGACUGAUAAACUUGAGACCGGGAGAAGCUAGAGGUACUCCUGGGGUAGAGGUGAAAUUCUGUAAUCCUAGGGGGACCACCAGUGGCGAAGGCGUCUAGCUAGAACGGGUCUGACGGUGAGGGACGAAGCCCUGGGGCGCAAACGGGAUUAGAUACCCGUGUAGU
RNAcentral lists this ribosomal RNA (414 nucleotides) under uncultured microorganism. RNAcentral describes it as "bacterial SSU rRNA". It matches the Rfam family "Archaeal small subunit ribosomal RNA", at positions 330 to 745 of the family's 1478-position model. The record is from RNAcentral.